UCUCGUGGUUACGAUAGGUCUCUUCCCUGUGAUAUUCAUUUGCAGAUGGCUGGACUGAUCAAGCAGUACAGAAUGGAGGUCGGAGGGAGAGAAGGUCCUCCAGGGAGAUGAGAAAUCGCCGAGCACCUUAAGUCUCAAGGUUUGCUGACGGCCAAGACCAGGCUUUGAAUGAAUGGUGAACUCAGAGGGGAGCGCGUUGGCCUGAGGAACCCACGGAUGCCAGUGUUGGUCUAUUCUUGCUUUCAGGUACCCCUUGGAACACAGAAUAGCAGUCUAGUCCUGCUGCCACCCCCACAAGGCUGGGCAUGGUUCAAAGGCAUGCAGGAUGCAAAGAAGAGUCAGCUUUGGCUGGGGAGGAGUGGUUUGGUGUACACUGCUACUGAAAUAGAAACUUUUGGCCUUCUGUCUGUAGAAAUAAAAAUCUGACUUGGUGAUGUUUUU
Rattus norvegicus (Norway rat) is the source of this 441-nucleotide long non-coding RNA. RefSeq annotates it as ZNFX1 antisense RNA 1. NCBI's taxonomy places the organism in Eukaryota, Metazoa, Chordata, Mammalia, Rodentia, Muridae. The record is from RefSeq and is marked validated.